UGGACAAAUUAUUGUAUUCGACUGUAUUCACGGCAUGAAAUAGGGGAUUAUACUGUUUUUAAAAUGGAAAGUGAAUCAAUUAACAUAAUAGACUCCU
This 97-nucleotide microRNA precursor is filed under the name Nicotiana sylvestris (wood tobacco). Its description in RNAcentral is "MIR6152 microRNA precursor family". It matches the Rfam family "MIR6152 microRNA precursor family". Lineage: Eukaryota; Viridiplantae; Streptophyta; Magnoliopsida; Solanales; Solanaceae. The record is from Rfam by way of RNAcentral.